Molecule: long non-coding RNA, 1088 nt
Organism: Lycium barbarum (goji berry)
Lineage: Eukaryota; Viridiplantae; Streptophyta; Magnoliopsida; Solanales; Solanaceae
Exons: 3
Source: RefSeq, a predicted model, not a curated record
GCAUCAAAAGGAACUGCCAGCAAAAAGGACAAUUCCAUUCCUUUAUAAUUAUUUACGUCUUUCAUGUUCAAGAAUUGCACAAAAUUUUACAAUUCACUUACACUUUCAUUCGUAUAGGAUAAUAAAGUCAUUUUCUCUCUUUUCUCGUUCACCAACGAAGUGCAGCAGCAUGUAAUUGAAGGUUUUAUUGCUACAAAAAAAUUUCUCAAGUUCUUUAAAAGUCAAGUUCAUUCUAGAUCAAACAUAGUUGUGUUCCUCCAUCGAUUUCAUGAUUAUAACUUCGGUCCCCUCCAAAUCUUAGCAAGUUCGGGAUCACUCUGGGUUGAAGUUGAAGCUUUCUUCUUGGUGAAGUAUCCUAAGAUUAAGGUUAAUCUGGUGCGAUUGAGGAUUGGCAUACUAGUUACGACGAGUUCGUUGUUGGAUCGUAUUGGCAACACGAGGUACCGGUAGACGGAUUGGUGUACCUUUCUCAGUAGGAUACCAGAGUUCAGCAGGAAUGUUCGCACUCCAUUCUCCGGAGUUCCUAGUCAGAGUCAUCAAAUAGGAUGCAUGCAUAUAUAUAUAUAUAUAUAUAUAUAUAUAUAUAUAUAGUAUGGCUAUAGCUACAUCGGGGACACUGUCCCGACCAGUUGAUGCAUAUUAGUGCUCUUAGAGGCUUACAGACUAUCAGUCAGUGUACAGGUAUUGUGUUUGGCCUUGCCGGCCUUCUGACUAGUUGUUUUUCUUGGUUGUGGCAUUGUCGGCCCUAGUUAUGCAUAUAUGUGUUGUUGGGCCUUUCUACUUGCAGGUUUUCAUGAUAUACUUUUUACAAUUGUUAUUCAGUGGCCUUGUCGGCCUAUGAUUCAUGUUACAGAGUUCAAAUAUCACAGUUGGUUCGCUCGGCCCUUCCGGUGCUGGGUGCCGGCCACACCCCCCAAGGUUGGGGUGUGACAAACGAUAUAUGAUUUUUAUUAUAAUUAAUGCUCAAAUGAACUACAUUUUUCAUUAUCAAAUUUUAAUUGAAAUGAAAGAAACAGAUUUAAAAGGAAAAUUUUCACCUUCAAAUUGGUGUGUUUGUUUGGGUUGUAACUUUUAAUACAUGAUUUUCU